This 225-nucleotide unclassified non-coding RNA is filed under the name Hevea brasiliensis (rubber tree). Lineage: Eukaryota; Viridiplantae; Streptophyta; Magnoliopsida; Malpighiales; Euphorbiaceae. The record is from RNAcentral.
GAAAAUACUGUUGGGGACAGUGGCAGGCAUGAACAAUCUGACAGCACAGGUCGGAUAUCUAAAGGCAAGUCUAAAAGGAGUUCUGAUUUGGAGUGCUUAGAAGAGAAAUCUGAUCAUACCAAGAGAUUAAAAUCAGAAAGCUUAGCUCAACAACCAGUUUCUGGUAAUUGGGGAGCCCAAUUACAGAGUCCUCACAGUCUAUCUCCUAGUAAACUCAACAGAGAU